RNAcentral lists this ribosomal RNA (496 nucleotides) under uncultured bacterium. Its description in RNAcentral is "partial 16S ribosomal RNA". It matches the Rfam family "Bacterial small subunit ribosomal RNA", at positions 29 to 507 of the family's 1533-position model. The record is from RNAcentral.
AUGCACGCUGGCGGCGUGCCUCAUCCAUGCCAGUCGCGCGAACAAACGAGGAGCUUGCUCCUCUGACGUUAGCGGCGGACGGGUGAGUAACACGUGGAUAACCUACCUAUAAGACUGGGAUAACUUCGGGAAACCGGAGCUAAUACCGGAUAAUAUAUUGAACCGCAUGGUUCAAUAGUGAAAGACGGUUUUGCUGUCACUUAUAGAUGGAUCCGCGCCGCAUUAGCUAGUUGGUAAGGUAACGGCUUACCAAGGCAACGAUGCGUAGCCGACCUGAGAGGGUGAUCGGCCACACUGGAACUGAGACACGGUCCAGACUCCUACGGGAGGCAGCAGUAGGGAAUCUUCCGCAAUGGGCGAAAGCCUGACGGAGCAACGCCGCGUGAGUGAUGAAGGUCUUCGGAUCGUAAAACUCUGUUAUUAGGGAAGAACAAAUGUGUAAGUAACUAUGCACGUCUUGACGGUACCUAAUCAGAAAGCCACGGCUAACUACGUG